RNAcentral lists this ribosomal RNA (653 nucleotides) under uncultured marine eukaryote. RNAcentral's name for it is "SSU rRNA". It matches the Rfam family "Eukaryotic small subunit ribosomal RNA", at positions 615 to 1271 of the family's 1831-position model. The record is from RNAcentral.
GCGGUUAAAAAGCUCGUAGUUGGAUCUCGGCAGGUAGGGGGCGGUUCGUUUCUGACGGUACUGCCCCAUUUACCUGUGUUUUUGACGGAGGUCUGAGGGUGCUCUUCACCGAGUGUCCCCAAACGCCGUCAGGUUUACUUUGAAAAAAUUAGAGUGCUCAAAGCAGGCUUCAAGCUUGAAUAUUUGUGCAUGGAAUAAUGGAAUAGGAAGUCGUUUCUAUUUUGUUGGUUUUCGGAAAUUGACUUAAUGAUUAAUAGGGACAGCCGGGGGCAUUAGUAUUCAGACGCUAGAGGUGAAAUUCUUGGACCGUCUGAAGACUAACUACUGCGAAAGCAUUUGCCAAGAGUGUUUUCAUUAAUCAAGAACGAAAGUUAGAGGUUCGAAGGCGAUCGGAUACCGCCCUAGUUCUAACCAUAAACGAUGCCAGCUAGCGAUCCGUAGCUGUUUUUCAUGUAGGCUCUACGGGAAGCUUCCGGGAAACCAAAGCUUGUGGGUUCCGGGGGAAGUAUGGUUGCAAAGCUGAAACUUAAAGGAAUUGACGGAAGGGCACCACCAGGAGUGGAGCCUGCGGCUUAAUUUGACUCAACACGGGAAAUCUCACCAGGCCCGGACACUGGAAGGAUUGACAGAUGGAAGCUCUUACUCGAUUCAGU